Molecule: ribosomal RNA, 467 nt
Filed under: uncultured bacterium
Lineage: Bacteria
Description: partial 16S ribosomal RNA
Rfam family: Bacterial small subunit ribosomal RNA
Source: RNAcentral
GACGAACGCUGGCGGCGUGCUUAACACAUGCAAGUCGAACGGAAAGGCCCUGCUUUUGUGGGGUGCUCGAGUGGCGAACGGGUGAGUAACACGUGAGUAACCUGCCCUUGACUUUGGGAUAACUUCAGGAAACUGGGGCUAAUACCGGAUAGGAGCUCCUGCUGCAUGGUGGGGGUUGGAAAGUUUCGGCGGUUGGGGAUGGACUCGCGGCUUAUCAGCUUGUUGGUGGGGUAGUGGCUUACCAAGGCUUUGACGGGUAGCCGGCCUGAGAGGGUGACCGGCCACAUUGGGACUGAGAUAAGGCCCAGACUCCUACGGGAGGCAGCAGUGGGGAAUAUUGCACAAUGGGCGGAAGCCUGAUGCAGCAACGCCGCGUGCGGGAUGACGGCCUUCGGGUUGUAAACCGCUUUCGCCUGUGACGAAGCGUGAGUGACGGUAAUGGGGAAAGAAGCACCGGCUAACUACGU